GUGUCAGCAGCCGCGGUAAUACGAAGGGGGCUAGCGUUGUUCGGAAUUACUGGGCGUAAAGGGCGCGCAGGCGGCCGCUCAAGUCAGAUGUGAAAGCCCCGGGCUCAACCUGGGAACUGCAUUUGAUACUGAGUGGCUAGAGUUCGGGAGAGGAGAGUGGAAUUCCCAGUGUAGAGGUGAAAUUCGUAGAUAUUGGGAAGAACACCGGUGGCGAAGGCGGCUCUCUGGACCGAUACUGACGCUGAGGCGCGAAAGCGUGGGGAGCAAACAGGAUUAGAUACCCUGGUAGUCC
This 292-nucleotide ribosomal RNA is filed under the name uncultured bacterium. RNAcentral's name for it is "partial 16S ribosomal RNA". It matches the Rfam family "Bacterial small subunit ribosomal RNA", at positions 505 to 796 of the family's 1533-position model. The record is from RNAcentral.